This 21-nucleotide non-coding RNA is filed under the name Caenorhabditis elegans. Lineage: Eukaryota; Metazoa; Nematoda; Chromadorea; Rhabditida; Rhabditidae. The record is from RNAcentral.
UCACAUUUUCAAUCAAUCCAA